This is a long non-coding RNA of Biomphalaria glabrata, 383 nucleotides long. RefSeq lists it as uncharacterized. The record is from RefSeq and is a predicted model, not a curated record. The transcript has 3 exons. Lineage: Eukaryota; Metazoa; Mollusca; Gastropoda; Planorbidae.
GUUAGUGCCCUGUGCAAUCAUCUGAAGUGUUGAAACACAGACACUCCAAAUGUCACAGACGUGCAUGUCACUGAAUCAUAACUGACAUUUACAAUGUCAGUGUCAAACUGCCGACGGCCGACGAAAAAAUUCCACCCCACAGUCGGUCUGGAGCUAUCAAAAUUCUUUUAUUAAUCUACAAAACUGAUCAACAUCCUUUGGUGCUAGUCCAGGCUCGACGAUCUUUCAAUGGACGUAAUUGAUUUGCUUUUUCGGAAGCAGCUGAGAAACACUAGUAUAAUUUCAAACAUUUCCCUUUGAAAUUGACAUCAAGACCACUGUCAGAUAGAAGGCAUAUGGGACUAGAAAAAGAAGGAAUUUCUUGUCAUUAAAUAAUAUUUACA